UGCCUUUCGGGAGCCGUAAGACAGGUGCUGCAUGGCUGUCGUCAGCUCGUGUCGUGAGAUGUUGGGUUAAGUCCCGCAACGAGCGCAACCCCCUAUCCUCAGUUGCCAUCAUUAAGUUGGGCACUCUGUGGAGACUGCCGGUGUCAAACCGGAGGAAGGUGGGAUGACGUCAAGUCCUCAUGGCCCUUAUGUCCAGGGCUACACACGUGCUACAAUGGGCAGUACAAAGGGUAGCAAGCCUGCGAAGGUGAGCCAAUCUCAAAAGCUGUUCGUAGUUCGGAUUGGAGUCUGCAACUCGACUCCAUGAAGCUGGAAUCGCUAGUAAUCGCGGAUCAGCAUGCCCGCGGUCGAAUACGUUCCCGGGCCUU
This 368-nucleotide ribosomal RNA is filed under the name uncultured Geobacter sp. Its description in RNAcentral is "bacterial SSU rRNA". It matches the Rfam family "Bacterial small subunit ribosomal RNA", at positions 1014 to 1382 of the family's 1533-position model. Lineage: Bacteria; Pseudomonadati; Thermodesulfobacteriota; Desulfuromonadia; Geobacterales; Geobacteraceae. The record is from RNAcentral.